RNAcentral lists this transfer RNA (93 nucleotides) under Thermus thermophilus. RNAcentral describes it as "tRNA-Gln". The record is from RNAcentral. Lineage: Bacteria; Thermotogati; Deinococcota; Deinococci; Thermales; Thermaceae.
CGUCCUCCUGGUCUACGCCAAGACCUUCUGGGCCCUGGCCCUGGGCCUCGCCCUCCAGGGGGCGGGGCAGGGGCUCGCCCUCCCCGGGGUCAC